UCCAGACUCCUACGGGAGGCAGCAGUGGGGAAUAUUGCACAAUGGGGGAAACCCUGAUGCAGCAACGCCGCGUGAAGGAAGACGGUUUUCGGAUUGUAAACUUCUGUUCUUAGUGAAGAAGAAUGACGGUAGCUAAGGAGCAAGCCACGGCUAACUACGUGCCAGCAGCCGCGGUAAUACGUAGGUGGCAAGCGUUAUCCGGAUUUACUGGGUGUAAAGGGGGCGCAGACGGCGAUGCAAGCCAGGAGUGAAAGCCCGGGGCCCAACCCCGGGACUGCUCUUGGAACUGCGUGGCUAGAGUGCAGGAGGGGCAGGCGGAAUUCCUGGUGUAGCGGUGAAAUGCGUAGAUAUUAGGAGGAACACCAGUGGCGAAGGCGGUCUGCUGGACAGCAACUGACGGUGAGGCGCGAAAGCGUGGGGAGCAAACAGGAUUAGAUACCCCCGUAA
This 447-nucleotide ribosomal RNA is filed under the name uncultured bacterium. Its description in RNAcentral is "partial 16S ribosomal RNA". It matches the Rfam family "Bacterial small subunit ribosomal RNA", at positions 330 to 793 of the family's 1533-position model. The record is from RNAcentral.